UAGGGAAUUUUCGUCAAUGGGCGCAAGCCUGAACGAGCGAUGCCGCGUGAGUGAAGAAGGCCUUCGGGUCGUAAAGCUCUGUUGCGGGGGAAAAAAGGCAGCAUCAGGAAAUGGGUGCUGACUGAUGGUGCCCCGCCAGAAAGUCACGGCUAACUACGUGCCAGCAG
This 167-nucleotide ribosomal RNA is filed under the name uncultured bacterium. Its description in RNAcentral is "partial 16S ribosomal RNA". It matches the Rfam family "Bacterial small subunit ribosomal RNA", at positions 355 to 514 of the family's 1533-position model. The record is from RNAcentral.